This 70-nucleotide transfer RNA is filed under the name Pleoticus muelleri. Its description in RNAcentral is "tRNA-Ser". It matches the Rfam family "tRNA". From Rfam's summary of the family: Transfer RNA (tRNA) molecules are approximately 80 nucleotides in length. Their secondary structure includes four short double-helical elements and three loops (D, anti-codon, and T loops). Lineage: Eukaryota; Metazoa; Arthropoda; Malacostraca; Decapoda; Solenoceridae. The record is from RNAcentral.
AGUUAUUUGGCUGAUAGGAAAGCAUGUGUUUUGAAAGCUCCUUAUAGAGGUUCGACUCCUCUAAUAACUU